UACAGAGAAUGGCUCGUCUGGACCAGUGCUUAGCUUUGGAGUAAAUUUUUAUGGAUAAUAUUUGAAGUAAUGCUAAAUAUCAGGGGGACAUGCAGAAGAAAUGUAUUGCCCUGACCAUAAGAGCCCUUAAUGAGAACAACAGCAGCAAACAAAUUGGAAUUUACCCAGGGACAGAAGGUAGAAAAAGAAAGAAUAGAAGGAAAGAAAAGGAAGAGAAGAAAUGUURCGGUUUCCCAGAGGAAAUGAUGAAGAUCAAGAUUUGAGAGGAGGGAGCAGGUCAGCAGAGGUAAGGAGAGUUGGAUCAGGUUAGUUACUGAUAGCACUAUAUAGAGUGCAUAUACGUAUAGAACUUAGGAGGCCUUAGUAGUAAGGAAUACA
Molecule: long non-coding RNA, 378 nt
Filed under: Dromaius novaehollandiae (emu)
Lineage: Eukaryota; Metazoa; Chordata; Aves; Casuariiformes; Dromaiidae
Description: lncRNA (ENSDNVG00000001512.1)
Source: RNAcentral